Molecule: RNA transcript, 1614 nt
Organism: Lolium perenne
Lineage: Eukaryota; Viridiplantae; Streptophyta; Magnoliopsida; Poales; Poaceae
Source: RefSeq, a predicted model, not a curated record
CCCGCCAUUGUUGUCCUUCUCUGCUCUAGCCAAGAAGCCAUGCUCUCGCUCUCCGCCCGCCCCAUCCUCUUCCCCAAACCCAGACUCCGCCGCCUCCUCCUCCUCAGACCCCUCUCCUCCGCGCUGACGCCGCCUACUCCUCAGACCCCCACCACCCCAGCCCCCGCAGACCCGACCCCGCUCUUCCUCCGCCCGCCGACCCACCCCGUCCGGCCCGCCGCCCUCGAGGCCUUCCGCCGCCGAGCCGCCGCGCUCGUCCCGCCCUCCGCGCCGCACCUGCACCGCCACCUCCGCUGGUUCCUCGCCGACGCCUCCAAUCCCGACCCGUCCCUCCACCUCCUCCGCGCGCCGCUCGACGAGCUCGAGGCCCUGUGGCUCGCCCACGUGCGGGACAGGCGCCCGCUCCAGUACGUGGUCGGGAACGAGCACUGGGGAGGGCUCGUGGUCGCGGUCCGGGACGGCGUGCUCAUCCCGCGCCCCGAGACGGAGGCCGUGCUGGAGAUGGUGCGGGCGGUCCAGGGGUUCCGUGAUGGGUGGUGGGCCGACCUCGGCACCGGUAGUGGCGCCAUCGCCGUGGCCGUCGCCAGGAUGCUGGGGCCCCAUGGGAGGGUCUUCGCCACCGACGUCAGCGAGGUCGCCGUCCAGGUCGCCCGGCUCAACGUCCAGAGGUACGGGCUGCAGGAUAAAGUCGAGAUAAGGCACGGCUCAUGGUUCGAACCUCUAGAAGAGGUCAAAGGAAAACUCAUGGGUGUGAUUAGCAACCCUCCAUACAUACCAACUGAUGAUCUACCUGGCCUGCAACCUGAAGUCGGCUGGCAUGAACCAAAAUUGGCGCUUGAUGGAGGCAAGGAUGGCCUUGAUCAUUUGCUUCAUAUCUGUGAAGGGUUAUCUUCGGCACUCAAGCCUGGCGGUUUCUUUGUUUUUGAGACAAAUGGCAACAAGCAGUCGGAGUUUCUUGUCGAUUUCAUAAGUACAAAGUGGAGUUCUUCUUUUCGCAACGUGGAGGCAGUUUUAGACUUUGCAGACAUCAAACGUUUUGUAAGAGGAUAUCGCAAAUGAAAAGCAAAUGUGGAUGCUGAUGCAAUAUUCCAGGAAACCACUUCUGUUCCCUCGUAAUUUUUGGCCCCCAUUUGAAAAGAAAAGGCCCGUUCAAUGCUCUGGGCUGGCUUCAACGAUAAGCGAGCAACUCGAUUUCAUAAUCCCCCCUGGGGAAGCUUAUCGCUUGUGGCUUAAGCAUCUUAUUGGCAGUAAUAUAUUGCAAGUCAAUCAUGGUCGUCCUUGUGCAUGUGAGAUGGUAUUUUCUUGCCGAGCUGCCCUUCCAUGGAUGGUCCAAGGAAGCUCUAGCUGGACACGAAGUCUUGUACUAGUAGUUCACAUACAAAAAGGUGUAUCUGGCGAAUUGUUCUUUUUUGCUUGUAGGGUUGUGAUGAUGUGAUUUUGGGGGAGAAGCUUUUGUAGCCUCCAAAUUAUUCCGCCGUCCACAAGCGGGUAGUGGGCUACAUUAUUUGUCUCUGGUGAUCAUUUUUGUUCAUCCCUGUCCACUACAGAUGUAUUGUGUACGGAAGACAUAACAUGUGUAUACAUGUGACUAUAAAUAUACUGCUGCGUCCAUUC